This 253-nucleotide ribosomal RNA is filed under the name uncultured bacterium. RNAcentral's name for it is "partial 16S ribosomal RNA". It matches the Rfam family "Bacterial small subunit ribosomal RNA", at positions 524 to 776 of the family's 1533-position model. The record is from RNAcentral.
UACGAAGGGGGCUAGCGUUGCUCGGAAUCACUGGGCGUAAAGCGCACGUAGGCGGCUUUUUAAGUCAGGGGUGAAAUCCUGGAGCUCAACUCCAGAACUGCCUUUGAUACUGGGAAGCUUGAGUCCGGAAGAGGUGAGUGGAACUCCGAGUGUAGAGGUGAAAUUCGUAGAUAUUCGGAAGAACACCAGUGGCGAAGGCGGCUCACUGGACUGGUAUUGACGCUGAGGUGCGAAAGCGUGGGGAGCAAACAGG